UGAGGAAUUUUGCGCAAUGGGAGCAAUCCUGACGCAGCAACGCCGCGUGGGUGAUGAAGGCCUUCGGGUCGUAAAGCCCUGUCAGGUGGGAAGAACGUCUUGGGGAUGAAUAAGCUCUGAGAGUGACGGUACCACCAGAGGAAGCACCGGCUAACUCCGUGCCAGCAGCCGCGGUAAUACGGAGGGUGCGAGCGUUAUUCGGAAUUACUGGGCGUAAAGCGCGUGUAGGCGGGGAGGCAAGUCUGAUGUGAAAGCCCCGGGCUUAACCUGGGAAGUGCAUUGGAAACUGCUUUUCUUGAGUGCUGGAGAGGAAGGGGGAAUUCCCGGUGUAGAGGUGAAAUUCGUAGAGAUCGGGAGGAAUACCAGUGGCGAAGGCGCCCUUCUGGACGGCAACUGACGCUGAGACGCGAAAGCGUGGGGAGCAAACAGG
Molecule: ribosomal RNA, 430 nt
Filed under: uncultured Syntrophobacter sp.
Lineage: Bacteria; Pseudomonadati; Thermodesulfobacteriota; Syntrophobacteria; Syntrophobacterales; Syntrophobacteraceae
Description: bacterial SSU rRNA
Rfam family: Bacterial small subunit ribosomal RNA
Source: RNAcentral